This 422-nucleotide ribosomal RNA is filed under the name uncultured archaeon. Its description in RNAcentral is "partial 16S ribosomal RNA". It matches the Rfam family "Archaeal small subunit ribosomal RNA", at positions 323 to 746 of the family's 1478-position model. The record is from RNAcentral.
CUACGGGCUGCUGCAGGCGAGAAAACUUUGCAAUGUGCGAAAGCACGACAAGGUUAAUCCGAGUGGUUUCUGCUAAAGGAACCUUUUGACAGUCCUAGAAACACUGUUGAAUAAGGGGUGGGCAAGUUCUGGUGUCAGCCGCCGCGGUAAAACCAGCACCUCAAGUGGUCAGGAUGAUUAUUGGGCCUAAAGCAUCCGUAGCCGGCUCUGUAAGUUUUCGGUUAAAUCUGUACGCUCAACGUACAGGCUGCCGGGAAUACUGCAGAGCUAGGGAGUGGGAGAGGUAGACGGUACUCGGUAGGAAGGGGUAAAAUCCUUUGAUCUAUUGAUGACCACCUGUGGCGAAGGCGGUCUACCAGAACACGUCCGACGGUGAGGGAUGAAAGCUGGGGGAGCAAACCGGAUUAGAUACCCCGGUAGUC